GUGAGUCAUCGAGUCUUUGAACGCACCUUGCACCCUUUGGUAUUCCAAAGGGUAUGCCCGUUUGAGUGUCAUUAUACUCUCACACUCUCUAAUUAGUUAGAGAACGGUGGAUUUGGAUGUUGCCUGGUACUUACUGUCAGGCUCAUCUUAAAUGAGUUAAGUGCGACUCUUAGUUAAACAUAGUAACGGCGUGAUAAGUAACCCUCGCUGUUUUCUGUCUGAUUAGGAGCUUUGUGCUUCAAACCGUCUCAGGACAAUAUUUUGAUAACUUGACCUCAAAUCGAGUAGGAUUACCCGCUGAACUUAAGCAUAUCAAUAAGCGGAGG
This 326-nucleotide ribosomal RNA is filed under the name uncultured fungus. Its description in RNAcentral is "eukaryotic LSU rRNA". The stretch from base 1 to 71 matches the Rfam family "5.8S ribosomal RNA", at positions 84 to 154 of the family's 154-position model. The record is from RNAcentral. Lineage: Eukaryota; Fungi.